GACGUCAAAUCAUCAUGCCCCUUAUGUCUAGGGCUACACACGUGCUACAAUGGCUGGUACAGAGAGAUGCUAAACCGUGAGGUGGAGCCAAACUUUAAAACCAGUCUCAGUUCGGAUUGUAGGCUGAAACUCGCCUACAUGAAGCUGGAGUUGCUAGUAAUCGCGAAUCAGAAUGUCGCGGUGAAUACGUUCCCGGGCCUUGUACACACCGCCCGUCACACCAUGAGAGUUGGCAAUACCCAAAGUUCGUGAGCUAACGCGCAAGCGAGGCAGCGACCUAAGGUAGGGUCAGCGAUUGGGGUGAAGUCGUAACAAGGUAGCCGUAGGAGAACCUGCGGCUGGAUCACCUCCUUUCUAUGGAGA
Molecule: ribosomal RNA, 363 nt
Filed under: Clostridium beijerinckii
Lineage: Bacteria; Bacillati; Bacillota; Clostridia; Eubacteriales; Clostridiaceae
Description: bacterial SSU rRNA
Rfam family: Bacterial small subunit ribosomal RNA
Source: RNAcentral